Molecule: ribosomal RNA, 497 nt
Filed under: uncultured bacterium
Lineage: Bacteria
Description: partial 16S ribosomal RNA
Rfam family: Bacterial small subunit ribosomal RNA
Source: RNAcentral
GGUGAACGCUGUCGGCGUGCCUAAUACAUGCAAGUCGAGCGAACGGACGAGAAGCUUGCUUCUCUGAUGUUAGCGGCGGACGGGUGAGUAACACGUGGAUAACCUACCUAUAAGACUGGGAUAACUUCGGGAAACCGGAGCUAAUACCGGAUAAUAUUUUGAACCGCAUGGUUCAAAAGUGAAAGACGGUCUUGCUGUCACUUAUAGAUGGAUCCGCGCUGCAUUAGCUAGUUGGUAAGGUAACGGCUUACCAAGGCAACGAUGCAUAGCCGACCUGAGAGGGUGAUCGGCCACACUGGAACUGAGACACGGUCCAGACUCCUACGGGAGGCAGCAGUAGGGAAUCUUCCGCAAUGGGCGAAAGCCUGACGGAGCAACGCCGCGUGAGUGAUGAAGGUCUUCGGAUCGUAAAACUCUGUUAUUAGGGAAGAACAUAUGUGUAAGUAACUGUGCACAUCUUGACGGUACCUAAUCAGAAAGCCACGGCUAACUACGUG